This 253-nucleotide ribosomal RNA is filed under the name uncultured bacterium. RNAcentral describes it as "partial 16S ribosomal RNA". It matches the Rfam family "Bacterial small subunit ribosomal RNA", at positions 524 to 776 of the family's 1533-position model. The record is from RNAcentral.
UACGUAGGUCGCAAGCGUUGUCCGGAUUUACUGGGCGUAAAGAGCGCGCAGGCGGCUGGUCAAGUCCGAUGUGAAAUCUCCCGGCUCAACUGGGAAACUGCAUCGGAAACUGAUCGGCUUGAAGAUGGGAGAGGGUAGUGGAAUUCCUGGUGUAGCGGUGGAAUGCGCAGAUAUCAGGAGGAACACCGGUGGCGAAGGCGGGUCUCUGGGCAGUAACUGACGCUGAGGAGCGAAAGCGUGGGGAGCGAACAGG